CAGAGGGGGAUACCAGUUGGAAACGACUGUUAAUACCGCAUAAUGUCUACGGACCAAAGUGUGGGACCUUCGGGCCACAUGCUGUCGGAUGCGCCUACGUGGGAUUAGCUAGUUGGUGAGGUAAUGGCUCACCAAGGCGACGAUCCCUAGCUGGUUUGAGAGGAUGAUCAGCCACACUGGAACUGAGACACGGUCCAGACUCCUACGGGAGGCAGCAGUGGGGAAUAUUGGACAAUGGGCGAAAGCCUGAUCCAGCCAUGCCGCGUGUGUGAAGAAGGCCUUCGGGUUGUAAAGCACUUUCAGUAGGGAGGAAGAGUUGAGUGUUAAUAGUACUCAGCUUUGACGUUACCUACAGAAGAAGCACCGGCUAACUCUGUGCCAGCAGCCGCGGUAAUACAGAGGGUGCAAGCGUUAAUCGGAAUUACUGGGCGUAAAGCGCACGCAGGCGGUUGGUUAAGUCAGAUGUGAAAGCCCCGGGCUCAACCUGGGAAUUGCAUUUGAAACUGGCCAACUAGAGUACGUGAGAGGGGGGUAGAAUUCCAAGUGUAGCGGUGAAAUGCGUAGAG
This 566-nucleotide ribosomal RNA is filed under the name Rheinheimera aquatica. RNAcentral's name for it is "bacterial SSU rRNA". It matches the Rfam family "Bacterial small subunit ribosomal RNA", at positions 134 to 695 of the family's 1533-position model. Lineage: Bacteria; Pseudomonadati; Pseudomonadota; Gammaproteobacteria; Chromatiales; Chromatiaceae. The record is from RNAcentral.